This 468-nucleotide ribosomal RNA is filed under the name uncultured bacterium. RNAcentral's name for it is "partial 16S ribosomal RNA". It matches the Rfam family "Bacterial small subunit ribosomal RNA", at positions 28 to 507 of the family's 1533-position model. The record is from RNAcentral.
GACGAACGCUGGCGGCGUUCUUAACCCAUGCAAGUCGAACGGAAAGGCCCUUCUUUUGUUGGGUGCUCGAGUGGCUAACGGGUGAGUAACCCGUGAGUAACCUGCCCUUUACUUUGGGAUAACUUCAGGAAACUGGGGCUCAUACCGGAUAGGAGCUCCUGCUGCAUGGUUGGGGUUUGAAAGUUUCGGCGGUUGGGGAUGGACUCGCGGCUUAUCAGCUUGUUGGUGGGGUAGUGGCUUACCAAGGCUUUGACGGGUAGCCGGCCUGAGAGGGUGACCGGCCACAUUGGGACUGAGAUACGGCCCAGACUCCUACGGGAGGCAGCAGUGGGGAAUAUUGCACAAUGGGCGGAAGCCUGAUGCAGCAACGCCGCGUGCGGGAUGACGGCCUUCGGGUUGUAAACCGCUUACGCCUGUGACGAAGCGUGAGGGAAGGUAAUGGGUAAAGAAGCACAGGCUAACUACGUG